AUUGAACGCUGGCGGCAGGCCUAACACAUGCAAGUCGAGCGGAUGGAGGGAGCUUGCCCGUGGAUUCCGCGGCGGAAGGGUGAGUAAUGCCUAGGAAUCUGCCUGGUAGUGGGGGAUGACGUGCGGAGACGGGCGCUAAUACCACAUACGUGCUGAGGGGGAAGGUGGGGGUUGUUGGGAGCUCACGCGAUCAGAUGAGGCUCGGUCGGAUUCGCUAGUUGGUGGGGUAAAGGCCUACCAAGGCGACGAUCGGGAACUGGUCCGGGAGGAUGAUCAGUCACCCUGGAACUUGGACGCGGACCAGAGUCCUACGGGAGGCAGCAGAGGGGAAUAUGGGACAAUGGGCGGAAGCCUGAUACAGCCAGGCCGCGUGUGUGAAGAAGGUCUUCGGAUUGUAAAGCACUUUAAGUGGGGAGAAAGGGCAGUAAGUUAAUACCUAGCUGUUUUGACGUUACCAACAGAAUAAGCACCGGCUAACUUCGUG
RNAcentral lists this ribosomal RNA (484 nucleotides) under uncultured bacterium. RNAcentral describes it as "partial 16S ribosomal RNA". It matches the Rfam family "Bacterial small subunit ribosomal RNA", at positions 29 to 507 of the family's 1533-position model. The record is from RNAcentral.